RNAcentral lists this long non-coding RNA (2567 nucleotides) under Sus scrofa (pig). RNAcentral describes it as "lncRNA (ENSSSCG00030055805.1)". The record is from RNAcentral. Lineage: Eukaryota; Metazoa; Chordata; Mammalia; Artiodactyla; Suidae.
CUAUUAAAAUAUUUAUUUGUAUAUAUUACAAUAAAUGUCAUCUAUAAUAUAUUGUAUUACAUAAAUAUAGGAGUUCCCAUCGUGGCACAGUAGAAACAAAACCAACUAGGAACCAUGAGGUUGUGGGUUCGAUCCCUGGCCUUGCUCAGUAGGUUAAGGAUCCAGCAUUGCUGUGAGCCGUGGUGUAGGUCGCAGAUGCUGCUCAGAUCUGGUGUUGCUGUGGCUGUGGUGUAGGCUGGCAGCUGCAGCUCUGAUCUGACCCCUAGCCUGGGAACCUCCAUAUGCUAUGAGUGCAGCCCUAAAAACCAAAAAAUAAAUAAAUAAAUAAAUCCAGCCAUCAGAAAGAUGUUCACAUCAGAAAAAUUAGAAGAAAACAGCCCAAAAUCUAAUUUUGAUUUUUUUUUCCGGGAUGAUUUUUUUUUUUCCUGUUGUCUUUCAGCUUUUCUAGAAUGAGCGUGCACUUAUUGAAUAAGGAACUAAAAAAAAAUUAUUUUUUCAAAAUUAAAAGAUUAAUCUGGAGCCAAGUGGAGGACCAAUAUCAGUGGAGAGAUCCUACAGGCAGAGAGUAAGGCGGGGGAGAGAUGAGGCUGAAGCAACACGGUGGCCAUGGGAGCUGAAAGGAAAGUCAAGGUAACUUGAACUUGAUGGGACUGGUGACACCAAAAGGUGAGGAGGGAGGCUUCUGUUGAGCACCUGCUUUGGGUCAGCAGCAAGCGAUGUGGCGGUCCUUCUGACCUGCAGAAGAAGAGAUACCUUUCUGUGAGAAGGCUGCAGGUGUCUUUUUGGGGUACAAAGUCAGAAGUAAUGGUUUCCUUGAACCUUCACUCCCAACACAAACCUAUCACCCAGCUUCUGCAGAGUUGUACUGAGUUGGCGUGAACUUGAACAAGUCUGUUGGUGUCUCUGAGAUUCAUGCUUUUCACGAUGGAAACGGAGAUGAUAAUACCCUCUCCGAAAAGCUUGUAAAGAUGGAUAGAGAUCAUCUUUGAAAGCAUGUGAUGUGACGAUGCCCAGCACAUGCUAAGUAACGAUUAUAAUGAUAAAGCUAUACCGGUUCCCCAAUGUACAUAAUGCUACAAAUGAUGUGAGGAAACGGCCCUGGCAAACCCCUACAGUCAUAAUCCAAAUAGUCAGUAAAAGCCGUCUGUAAUUUAUCCAUACAUUUGACCGCUUAAUAAUCAAGAAUUUCUUCCUUGCAUCCAAUCGAAAUGUCUCCCCUGCCGCUAAAUCCAUAAGCCAACCAUCUGCCACGUGGCAAUGGCCUUGGUCUGAAAUCUGAGUCCAAUGUCACAGAAAGAGCACUUUUUUCAGAGUCACAACAGCUUGACCCUGGACAGGUCACUAAAAUCUCUAAAGCUUUAAUUUCCCCAUCUUUAAAGUGGGAGCAGUAUUAUCUAUACCUUGGCAUCCUGUUUUGAUAAUUAUUUUGAGAAUGAUCUAUGCAAUACAUCUAGCUCGAAAAAAAAAAUGUGCAGUAAAUGCGAGCUCCUUUUCAUUUAUUUUUAAUGGAUUUUACCAUUUAAGGAAAAACACAUUUUUUAAAACUAAAGGUUGAGUUUUUUUUUUUCCAGCUCAUUAUUUUUAUCCAGGACCAUUAUAGCUAUUAAGUGUUGUGAGCUUCUCUCUCUCCAGAGACAUUUAUGAUGCCAAUUAGAAGCGUGCGUAUACUGAGAUUAAAAAGUAAUGACUAACAAAAUGAACAGUGGAUUCCCCUCUUGACACCCAGCCUGCCGCUCCUGAAGCUUGUUUCUAGAUAUUUAACUCUCCAUGGGGACAGUAAACCACAUUUCUGGGGUCAAGGGAAUAUCAUUAAGAUUUUACAGUUCAAGAUCAUUUGAAGGCGAUGGGGGAGAGAGCAAUGACCUAUGUAAACAGGGGACCACAUUAAGGCGGCACAGGUCACAUCCAUGCUUGUUAUUGGGCUAGAAAUCGGACAGUGCAAAAUGAACGGUCCCAUCCUAAGGAGAGGGAAAGGUUGAGUUGCCAAUGGGAACACGAAGAUGGGGUUCAGUUUUACACGCAUGGGUCUCUCCCAUUUCAUUAUUACACACGAAGAAGCUUCUCAACAAGUGUUUGUAUUCACUGAUGAAUCCAGGACAUCCUGAUGAAAUUAUACAUAUAUAUAAAUUAUAUAUAUAUAUUUUUCUUUUUUACAGCUGCACCUGCAGCAUAUGGAAGUUCCCAGGCUAGGGGUCAAAUCAGAGCUGCAGCUGCAGUCCUGCGCCACAGCCAUGGCAACACCGGAUCCUUAACCCACCAAGCGAGGCCAGGGAUCAAACCUACAGCCUCAUGGAGACUACAUCAGGUUCUUACCUGUUGAGCCACAAUGGGAACUCCCCAGCUUUUUUUUUGGCCACCCCACAGCAUAUGGAGUUCCCAGGCCAGGGAUCAGUUUGGAGCCACAGUUGCGUGAACCCUGGAUCCUUUAACCCACUGUGUCAGGCCAGAAGUUGAACCUGUGUCUUUGAUGCUGCAGAGAUGCUGCUGAUCCCGUUGUGCCACAGCGGGAACUCCAAAUUUUAUUUUAGUUUUCCUUUCAGGUCUAUUCUUUUCUGACUCUUCAGUCC